GUUUAUCUGCAGUGUUUUAUUAUUAGUCUCAGCGUUGGAGGUUCUGGUUCUGCUGAGGGUUUCAUGGUUCUACUGAGGGUUCCUUGGUUCUGGUUCUGCUGAGUGUUCCACGGUUCUACUGAGGGUUCCACGGUUCUACUGAGGGUUCCAUGGUUCGGGUUCUACUGAGGGUUCCUUGGUUCUGGUUCUGCUGAGGGUUCCAUGGUUCUACUGAGGGUUCCAUGGUUCUGGUUCUACUGAGGGUUCCAUGGUUCUAUUGAGGGUUCCAUGGUUCUACUGAGGGUUCCAUGGUUCUGGUUCUGCUGAGGGUUCCAUGGUUCUAUUGAAGGUUCCAUGGUUCUACUGAGAGUUCCAUGGUUCUAUUGAGGGUUCCAUGGUUCUACUGAGGGUUCCUUGGUUCUGGUUGUGCUGAGGGUUCCAUGGUUCUACUGAGGGUUCCUUGGUUCUGGUUCUACUAAGGGUUCCAUGGUUCUACUGAGGGUUCCUUGGUUCUGGUUCUGCUGAGGGUUCCAUAGUUCUACUGAGGGUUCCAUGGUUCUGGUUCUACUAAGGGUUCCAUGGUUCUACUGAUGGUUCCAUGGUUCUGGUUCUACUGAGGGUUCCUUGGUUCUGGUUCUGCUGAGGGUUCCAUGGUUCUACUGAGGGUUCCAUGGUUCUGGUUCUACUGAGGGUUCCAUGGUUCUAUUGAGGGUUCCAUGGUUCUACUGAGGGUUCCUUGGUUCUGGUUGUGCUAAGGGUUCCAUGGUUCUACUGAGGGUUCCUUGGUUCUGGUUCUACUAAGGGUUCCAUGGUUCUACUGAGGGUUCCUUGGUUCUGGUUCUGUUGAGGGUUCCAUAGUUCUACUGAGGGUUCCAUGGUUCUGGUUCUACUAAGGGUUCCAUGGUUCUACUGAUGGUUCCAUGGUUCUUGUGCUACUGAGGAAUCCAUGGUUCUACUGAGGGUUCCAUUGUUCUACUUAGCGUUCCAUGGUUCUGGUUCUACUGAGAGUUCCAUGGUUCUACUGAGGGUUCCAUGGUUCUGGUUCUACUUAGGGUUCCAUGGUCCUACUGAGGGUUCCACAGUUCUACUGAGGGUUCCUUGGUUCUACUGAGGGUUCCUUGGUUCUGGUUCUACUAAGGGUUCCAUAGUUCUACUGAGGGUUCCAUGGUUCUGGUUCUACUAAAGGUUCCAUGGUUCUACUGAGGUUUCCAUGGUUCUGGUUCUACUGAGGGAUCCAUGGUUCUACUGAGGGUUCCAUUGUUCUACUGAGCGUUCCAUGGUUCUGGUUCUACUGAGAGUUCCAUGGUUCUACUGAGAGUUCCAUGGUUCUACUGAGGGUUCCAUGGUUCUGGUUCUACUUAGGGUUCCAUGGUCCUACUGAGGGUUCCACAGUUCUACUAAGGGUUCCUUGGUUCUACUGAGGGUUCCAUGGUUCUGGUUCUACUGAGAGUUCCAUGGUUCUACUGAGAGUUCCAUGGUUCUACUGAGGGUUCCAUGGUUCUGGUUCUACUUAGGGUUCCAUGGUCCUACUGAGGGUUCCACAGUUCUACUAAGGGUUCCUUGGUUCUACUGAGGGUUCCAUGGUUCUGGUUCUACUGAGGGUUCUAUAGUUCUAUUGAGGGUCCCAUGGUUCUACUGAGGGUUCCAUGGUUCUAGUUCUGCAGGACUUUCUGGAGGAAAAACGAAUAAAAAACAGGCAGAACUCUGUGCAGAUUUUUUGCUACAUCAUGCUUUGGAUGUAAUCACGUUUUGCUUCUUUCGUUUUCAACAUUUAGCAACAAACAGCUGAACUCUGGUUGUCCUCGGUGCGGCCCCCAGCGGCCCCCGGCUGUCCAGCAGGACUGCUGAACUGGUGAAGCAGCGGUCAGCACCGGGCUGACCCCGCAGCGACCCACCGCAGCUAGGAGAUGUCCAGGGAGAAGAAUGCGCUCUGAAAGCUCCUAAAGAAGUUCAGGAUCCUUUCAGAGGUAGAGC
Amphiprion ocellaris (clown anemonefish) is the source of this 1953-nucleotide long non-coding RNA. The record is from Ensembl. NCBI's taxonomy places the organism in Eukaryota, Metazoa, Chordata, Actinopteri, Pomacentridae.